RNAcentral lists this ribosomal RNA (738 nucleotides) under uncultured fungus. RNAcentral's name for it is "eukaryotic LSU rRNA". The stretch from base 174 to 328 matches the Rfam family "5.8S ribosomal RNA". Lineage: Eukaryota; Fungi. The record is from RNAcentral.
GGUCCUCGAAAGGGGUCAAGUGCACGCUCUGUUUACACAUCCACUCACACCUGUGCACCCUCUGUAGUUCUAUGGCCUGGGGGCUCUGUCCUCUUGCUGUGGUCCUACGUCUUUACACACACACCGUAAUAGAGUCUCAUGGAAUGUAUCUCGCGUUUAACGCAGUAUAAUACAACUUUCAGCAACGGAUCUCUUGGCUCUCGCAUCGAUGAAGAACGCAGCGAAAUGCGAUAAGUAAUGUGAAUUGCAGAAUUCAGUGAAUCAUCGAAUCUUUGAACGCACCUUGCGCCCUUUGGCUAUUCCGAAGGGCAUGCCUGUUUGAGUAUCAUGAACACCUCAACUCUCAUGGUCCACCAUGAUGAGCUUGGACUUUGGGGGUCUUGCUGGCCUAUCACCGGCUCCUCUCAAAUGAAUCAGCUUGCCAGUGUUUGGUGGCAUCACAGGUGUGAUAACUAUCUACGCUUGUGUUUUCCCACCAGGUAACCUCCAGCAAUGGGGGUUCACUGAAGCUCACAAUUGUCUCUCAUCAGUGGAGACAGCUUUUGAACGUUUGAUCUCAAAUCAGGUAGGACUACCCGCUGAACUUAASCAUAUCAAUAAGCGGAGGAAAAGAAACUAACAAGGAUUCCCCUAGUAACUGCGARUGAAGCGGGAAGAGCUCAAAUUUAAAAUCUGGCGUGCCUCUGGCCGUCCRAGUUGUAGUCUGGAGAAGCGUUUUCCGUGCUGGACCGUGUACAA